Molecule: long non-coding RNA, 232 nt
Organism: Orcinus orca (killer whale)
Lineage: Eukaryota; Metazoa; Chordata; Mammalia; Artiodactyla; Delphinidae
Exons: 3
Source: RefSeq, a predicted model, not a curated record
CUUGUGCUACCGACCAUUGAUAUGUUCAGGAGACCCUGAGGCCCAGCAGAGUUGAUGGUCUGACUUAACUCUCCAGAGAAGUGCGCAAAUCCUGGCCUGUUUCCUGAGCAUUUUCUGAAACGGCGAGAGAGGAUGUUAAAGGCUUUUGAACCACAUUUGGGUAUGCAGGAUAUCAGCUCCUUUUAGAAGCUGGCGUUCCAGAUCAUCUCCUGAAAGUGCAGCAGAACUGGGA